This is a non-coding RNA of Biomphalaria pfeifferi, 793 nucleotides long. The record is from the annotation of a GenBank genome assembly. NCBI's taxonomy places the organism in Eukaryota, Metazoa, Mollusca, Gastropoda, Planorbidae.
ACAAACACACACACAAACUUGACAAAAAAGAUAUUUGAGACAAUUAAAUAUAAAAUCGUCUAUCUGCCUAUAUUACUGUCAUCCAUGACUUCUUUUUAUAAAUGAUUGUAUGUAAUGGUAUGUUCAACCAAAGUAGAAAAACAACAUUUAUAAUCAACUGUUUUAUUUGGGCAUGUAUUGCACUUAUGAACUUUAGUUUCAAAUCAAUAAGCUAAAAUGUUUUUUUUAUCAUAACAGCGCAUGUAUGUUGUAUGCUGCAAUGUUAGAGUCUAUUAUUUUAACAUUUGAUCAUAGGAUACUUCAUAGUACUUUUGAGCAGGACAAACUGUUACAAUGUAUUGUACAAACUGACCACUGAGGUGCAUAUAUGAGAGCUGUAUGUAUGUGUGUUUGAUGAUUGUGGUUUAUCGGGCACGACGUGGCCUAAAGUGUGCCGAUGUGCCAAAAAACUCAAAACCCUGAUAGUGGUUUAUAUCAUUACAUGUAAUAGUUAAUACAUGAAAACUUGUCAAUUCAUUCCAGUUCAGAAAAUGUCUGAAUUCAGUCCUGGUAGUGAGAUGAUUUCAUUUUAAAUAGUACAAUGUUCUGAAGACAAAGAAAUCUGUUCAGCUUUUUGAUUCCAUUAAAACUAGUCAUUAAGAUUUCUUGAGUUGUUGUUUAACUGUGUAAAUUGUAAUAUUUCUUGUCCUUAUUAACUAUAACUUACUUAUAUAGAAUGUUAUAUCAACAUUCUUUCAUUUAUGACCUUUUCAUUUGUAAUGGGAUGGCUUUCAAAGCAGGAUAAUAUUUAAAA